GAAAAGGCAAUGACGGAGAAAAGUACGCCACCCUUCUUUUUUUUAGGAAGAAAAUGCCCUGACUGAAAGCAUUUUUAAAAAGAACUGGCUGAAGUUCACCUCCCGAGCCGGUGCUUGGACCACAAGAGUGUAAAGGCACACCGGUUUAAACCGUUAUCUGAAUGAAGUGAACGCGUGAUUUCGUGCGCGUUAAAAAGGGUGGUACCGCGAUAUCAGAAGCCUCGUCCCUUUC
RNAcentral lists this non-coding RNA (232 nucleotides) under Domibacillus enclensis. Its description in RNAcentral is "T-box sequence". It matches the Rfam family "T-box leader". Rfam says of the family: Uncharged tRNA acts as the effector for transcription antitermination of genes in the T-box leader family. T-boxes are found upstream of many aminoacyl-tRNA synthetase genes and some amino acid biosynthetic genes usually in Gram-positive bacteria. The record is from RNAcentral. Lineage: Bacteria; Bacillati; Bacillota; Bacilli; Caryophanales; Bacillaceae.